UCAAGUUUCUGGCCUUGCAGAGA
RNAcentral lists this non-coding RNA (23 nucleotides) under Cricetulus griseus (Chinese hamster). The record is from RNAcentral. Lineage: Eukaryota; Metazoa; Chordata; Mammalia; Rodentia; Cricetidae.